This is a non-coding RNA of Phrynosoma platyrhinos (Desert horned lizard), 74 nucleotides long. The record is from the annotation of a GenBank genome assembly. NCBI's taxonomy places the organism in Eukaryota, Metazoa, Chordata, Lepidosauria, Squamata, Phrynosomatidae.
GAGCUAGUGCAGCACAAUGGUUUGAGUUUUGGACUAUGACUCUGGAGACCAGGGUUCAAAUCCCUGCUAAUCCA